GUGAGGAAUAUUGGUCAAUGGGCGGGAGCCUGAACCAGCCAAGUCGCGUGAAGGAAGAAGGAUCUAUGGUUCGUAAACUUCUUUUGCAGGAGGGUAAAGUGAGCUACGUGUAGUUCAUUGCAAGUACCCUGCGAAUAAGCAUCGGCUAACUCCGUGCCAGCAGCCGCGGUAAUACGGAGGAUGCGAGCGUUAUCCGGAUUUAUUGGGUUUAAAGGGUGCGUAGGCGGACUAAUUAGUCAGCGGUGAAAUUUUGCGGCUCAACCGUAAAACUGCCGUUGAAACUGUUAGUCUUGAGUGCGGUAGAGGUAGGCGGAAUGUGUGGUGUAGCGGUGAAAUGCUUAGAUAUCACACAGAACACCGAUUGCGUAGGCAGCUUACUGGAGCGCAACUGACGCUGAGGCACGAAAGCGUGGGGAUCGAACAGGAUUAGAAACCCGAGUAGUCC
This 445-nucleotide ribosomal RNA is filed under the name uncultured bacterium. RNAcentral describes it as "partial 16S ribosomal RNA". It matches the Rfam family "Bacterial small subunit ribosomal RNA", at positions 354 to 796 of the family's 1533-position model. The record is from RNAcentral.